CUAUAUCCACCCUGUAGAUCCGAAUUUGUGUAAAUACAGCAGCAGCCACAAAUUCGCAUCUUGGGGAGUAUGUAGA
This 76-nucleotide microRNA precursor is filed under the name Oreochromis niloticus (Nile tilapia). RNAcentral's name for it is "mir-10 microRNA precursor family". It matches the Rfam family "mir-10 microRNA precursor family". Rfam says of the family: In this case the mature sequence comes from the 5' arm of the precursor. The extents of the hairpin precursors are not generally known and are estimated based on hairpin prediction. The products are thought to have regulatory roles through complementarity to mRNA. The record is from Rfam by way of RNAcentral. Lineage: Eukaryota; Metazoa; Chordata; Actinopteri; Cichliformes; Cichlidae. RNAcentral also lists the same sequence under 5 other names.